AACCUAGCACACCUGCGGUGUGUACCUGCGGAAGGAUCAUUAACAAGCUGUGGGAGAUCGAUCAAUUUGAUCUCACACCUGGCCAACCUUGUUAACCUUAAAUAUAUUGCUUUGGUGAGCCCUGCUCACCAAAGUCAAACCCUAAACUCUUGAUUGUUUCUGCUGUCUGAGCAUGCAAGUGCAAAAUUUAGUUAAAAACUUUUAGCAACGGAUCU
Molecule: unclassified non-coding RNA, 215 nt
Filed under: soil metagenome
Description: partial contains 5.8S ribosomal RNA, internal transcribed spacer 2, and large subunit ribosomal RNA
Source: RNAcentral